CGAACGCUGGCGGCGUGCUUAACACAUGCAAGUCGAACGGGUCUGCCCUGUUUUUUGCGGGGUGGGUCAGUGGCGAACGGGUGAGUAACACGUGAGUAACCUGCCCCUCACUUCUGGAUAACCGCUUGAAAGGGUGGCUAAUACGGGGUGUUCUGGCUGUGCCGCAUGGUGUGGCUGGGAAAGAUUCACUUUUGUGGUGUUUUGGUGGGGGAUGGGCUCGCGGCCUAUCAGCUUGUUGGUGGGGUGAUGGCCUGCCAAGGCUUUGACGGGUAGCCGGCCUGAGAGGGUGGGCGGUCACACUGGGACUGAGAUACGGCCCAGACUCCUGCGGGAGGCAGCAGUGGGGGGUAUUGCACAAUGGGCGGAAGCCUGAUGCAGCGACGUCGCGUGAGGGAUGGAGGCCUUCGGGUUGUGAACCUCUUUCGCCGGUGAAGAAGGUCCUGCUCUUUGUGGGGGGGCUGACGGUAGCCGGGUUAUGAAGCGCCGGCUAACUACGUG
This 498-nucleotide ribosomal RNA is filed under the name uncultured bacterium. Its description in RNAcentral is "partial 16S ribosomal RNA". It matches the Rfam family "Bacterial small subunit ribosomal RNA", at positions 30 to 507 of the family's 1533-position model. The record is from RNAcentral.